Long non-coding RNA from Thunnus maccoyii (southern bluefin tuna), 1315 nucleotides. RefSeq lists it as uncharacterized. The transcript has 3 exons. Lineage: Eukaryota; Metazoa; Chordata; Actinopteri; Scombriformes; Scombridae. The record is from RefSeq and is a predicted model, not a curated record.
GUGUGUAGCUCCUUUUAAAUUAACUACAUCAGUAGUAUUUUUUGGACUUCCGAAUUCUUCUCACCGAAUGAGACUUUGUUGUCACAAAUUCCCAUCAUUCCAUCCCAUUCCCUAUCUCCGACUCAGAAUUACAACUUGGAGGCUGACGUCUAAACAAUAUGUUGUGAACAUGGCAUAAAUAGCUGUACAUUGCAAUACGAGAAUAAUGCUACAUCUGAUAUCAUAUACAGUAUGUAGCGAUCAAGUGCAUUUAAGACCCUUUUUACUGGAUUUUUAUUUUGAAAUAAGAGUCAGCUGGAAAGAGUAAAAAGCUUAAUUAGCUAUCUGGUUAAUAACAUCUACUAGUGACUGUUGUCAUUUCAGUCAAAGUCGACAGUCACCGGCUACAAAUGAGAAGGCUGCAUUCGUCCUCACUGCUUAUGAAAUCAAGGACCCAUUGUUUCAAACAUUGCCAAUAAUUUUGAUGGGAAAUUCAGUGAAAUUAUGUGCUGUGCAAGAACGGGUGUACUCUACAAGUAGACAAGCCGCCUACUGCAAUCAAUCAGCCAGUCAGUGAGUUCUUGCAGGCCUUUCACUCAAACCUUUUUUCAUAUUUUUCUUUGAAAACAACACAAGUCCAGGAGUGAGCAUUCACAUAAGUAUCUACCUAUGGCACAUAUGGAGAAAACAAACACAUUACUUCACAAUACAGUUGCUGUAUCAGCCUCUGAUGGCAGUGGGGACAAAGCGAGCAGAGCAGCAAGACCUUGAGGCAGAGGUAUUAAGAAGCAUGUGAAGUCAAUGAGAGUUUUUCUUUUCCCUGACUUGGUGUUUCCAUGCUCGCUGAUUCUCCCUCUGAGUGGAGUAAGUGCACAGUUUUUUUGUGACUGUGCAAACAGAGAAGCAAACGUGGUCGCCUGCAGACACACAAUCAGGUGUUUGUUGCCUCUUACUGAGAUCAAAAGGGUCUGGCUUGUUUGCUGUCCAGUUGGGAGUUAAAAGGAGGAUUCUUUGUGAUGUGGGGAGGUGAAAGCUUAGACUUCAAAAGAGGGGAAAUACAUACUCAGAAGUUGUUGAAUUUACAUGUUUAGUGUUCUUAGCUGGCUUGCUAUCAUCAGCCACCAGUAAGGAAUCACUUGGUUUUGUUCAGAGUUGGAUGGUUUGUCUGCUAGUGUCUUGUUUUCUGUUACUACACCUGUUAAACACAGAAGGUGCAAUGACUAAUGUAAAUAAUUACUUUUGCUGUUGAGUAUAGCAAUGUAAUUACUUUCUCCAUUGGUAAAAUGUAAUGAGUAAUGGAUUACAUUGCCCAACACUGAUGAUUAAGACUGUUUGA